Molecule: ribosomal RNA, 274 nt
Filed under: uncultured bacterium
Lineage: Bacteria
Description: partial 16S ribosomal RNA
Rfam family: Bacterial small subunit ribosomal RNA
Source: RNAcentral
AUACGAAGGUCCCAAGCGUUAUUCGGAAUCACUGGGCGUAAAGGACGCGUAGGCGGGUUUGUAAGUCAGGUGUGAAAUCCUACAGCUCAACUGUAGAACUGCACUUGAAACUACAGACCUAGAGUAUGGAAGGGGCAGAUGGAAUUAGUGGUGUAGGGGUAAAAUCCGUAGAUAUCACUAGGAAUACCGAAAGCGAAGGCGAUCUGCUGGGACAUUACUGACGCUGAGGCGUGAAAGCGUGGGGAGCAAACAGGAUUAGAAACCCGAGUAGUCC